Molecule: ribosomal RNA, 378 nt
Filed under: uncultured bacterium
Lineage: Bacteria
Description: bacterial SSU rRNA
Rfam family: Bacterial small subunit ribosomal RNA
Source: RNAcentral
UAAGACGAACCGUGCGAACGUUAUUCGGAAUCAUUGGGCUUAAAGCGCGUGUAGGCGGGUCGGCGCGUCGGUCGCUGAAAGCCCCCGGCUCAACCGGGGAAUUGGCACCGAUACGGCCGUCCUGGAGGGGAGGAGAGGGACCUGGAACUUCCGGUGGAGCGGUGAAAUGCGUUGAGAUCGGAAGGAACGCCGGUGGCGAAAGCGAGGUCCUGGACUCUUACUGACGCUGAGACGCGAAAGCCAGGGGAGCGAACGGGAUUAGAUACCCCGGUAGUCCUGGCCGUAAACCAUGGGCACUGGGCGGCGAGCUCGCCGAUGGGCACGUCGCCGCAGCGAAAGCGUCAAGUGCCCCGCCUGGGGAGUAUGGUCGCAAGGCUG